This 253-nucleotide ribosomal RNA is filed under the name uncultured bacterium. RNAcentral describes it as "partial 16S ribosomal RNA". It matches the Rfam family "Bacterial small subunit ribosomal RNA", at positions 524 to 776 of the family's 1533-position model. The record is from RNAcentral.
UACGAAGGGGGCUAGCGUUGCUCGGAAUGACUGGGCGUAAAGGGCGCGUAGGCGGAUGGUACAGUCAGAUGUGAAAUUCCUGGGCUUAACCUGGGGGCUGCAUUUGAUACGUGUUGUCUAGAGUGAGGAAGAGGGUCGUGGAAUUCCCAGUGUAGAGGUGAAAUUCGUAGAUAUGGGGAGGAGCACCGGUGGCGAAGGCGACCAUCUGGACGGAUACUGACGCUGAGACGCGAAAGCGUGGGUAGCAAACAGG